This 500-nucleotide ribosomal RNA is filed under the name uncultured bacterium. RNAcentral's name for it is "partial 16S ribosomal RNA". It matches the Rfam family "Bacterial small subunit ribosomal RNA", at positions 30 to 523 of the family's 1533-position model. The record is from RNAcentral.
AUUGAACGCUGGCGGAAUGCUUUACACAUGCAAGUCGAACGGCAGCACGGACUUCGGUCUGGUGGCGAGUGGCGAACGGGUGAGUAAUGUAUCGGAACGUGCCCAGUCGUGGGGGAUAACGUAGUGAAAAUUACGCUAAUACCGCAUACGAUCUAUGGAUGAAAGCGGGGGAUCGCAAGACCUCGCGCGAUUGGAGCGGCCGAUAUCAGAUUAGGUAGUUGGUGGGGUAAAGGCCCACCAAGCAGACGAGCUGUAGCUGGUCUGAGAGGACGAUCAGGAAAACUGGAACUGAGACACGGUGCAGACUCCUACGGGAGGCAGGAGUAGGGAAUUUUGGACAAUGGGCGAAAGCCUGAUCCAGCCAUUCCGCGUGCAGGAUGAGGGCACUCGGGUUGUAAACUGCUUUUGUACAGAACGAAAAGGUUUCUACUAAUACUAGGAGCUCAUGACGGUACUGUAAGAAUAAGCACCGGCUAACUACGUGCCAGCCGCCGCCGUAA